RNAcentral lists this ribosomal RNA (466 nucleotides) under uncultured bacterium. Its description in RNAcentral is "partial 16S ribosomal RNA". It matches the Rfam family "Bacterial small subunit ribosomal RNA", at positions 28 to 507 of the family's 1533-position model. The record is from RNAcentral.
GAUGAACGCUGGCGGCGUGCUUAACACAUGCAAGUCGAACGGUGGAAGAGAGCUUGCUCUCUGGAUCAGUGGCGAACGGGUGAGUAACACGUGAGCAAUCUGCCCCUGACUCUGGGAUAAGCGCUGGAAACGGCGUCUAAUACCGGAUACGAGCUGCGAAGGCAUCUUCAGCAGCUGGAAAGAACUUCGGUCAGGGAUGAGCUCGCGGCCUAUCAGCUAGUUGGUGAGGUAACGGCUCACCAAGGCGUCGACGGGUAGCCGGCCUGAGAGGGUGACCGGCCACACUGGGACUGAGACACGGCCCAGACUCCUACGGGAGGCAGCAGUGGGGAAUAUUGCACAAUGGGCGAAAGCCUGAUGCAGCAACGCCGCGUGAGGGACGACGGCCUUCGGGUUGUAAACCUCUUUUAGCAGGGAAGAAGCGAAAGUGACGGUACCUGCAGAAAAAGCACCGGCUAACUACGUG